RNAcentral lists this long non-coding RNA (313 nucleotides) under Mytilus galloprovincialis (Mediterranean mussel). The record is from RNAcentral. Lineage: Eukaryota; Metazoa; Mollusca; Bivalvia; Mytilida; Mytilidae.
UGUUUGGCUAUUUUAAAUUCGUACAAAAUAAUUUACUUCUUUUGAGUUUUUUUUUUAUACUAGAUUAAUAGAAAAAUAUGCAUUGGUCAACUUCCUCAUACAGAUGCAGGUUUCAUGUCAUUGAGACAGAUUUUUGUGAUUAUAAGUAUUGUGUUCAAGUUUCAUAACAUUGGAUUUAGGAAAACUAGGAGAACAGAAAUAACAGAUUUGGCAUUUUUCCAUUUUUUAAUAAAGUGCUUCAGUCAAGAACGGUAAAAGUAAUACCACCUAAUUCCUGUGUAUUGUUGUGACAAGCAUUGUGUAUAAGUUUUUU